Brassica napus (rape) is the source of this 1008-nucleotide long non-coding RNA. RefSeq lists it as uncharacterized. The record is from RefSeq and is a predicted model, not a curated record. NCBI's taxonomy places the organism in Eukaryota, Viridiplantae, Streptophyta, Magnoliopsida, Brassicales, Brassicaceae. The transcript is spliced from 3 exons.
CCAUCUUUAUCGCUAGGUCCUAAGUGAGUUUUUAAACAAAAUAGUCUAUUUAUUUAAAUCAAAACAAGAUAAAAAUGGGCUUACCGAUCCUUAACUAAGGUUUUCUGGAACCGGUUUUGAAGUGGGUUUUUCCACCACGUGUCAGCAAAAAAAGACACAAGACUUUUUUUUCUUUUUUCUUUUCUUUUCUCUUUUGUUUCCUCGUCUUCUCCGUCGAAACUUCUCAACUCUUCCCAUACAGAAGACGAGGAAGUUGGCUGGAGCUAGCUCUUUCAAGACGUUGAAGGAGAUCGAGAUCUCGUGGAUGUUUUGUUGUGGGGUUAUGGUGAAGGUCGCGUAGUGGACGAUGGCUUGGAGCUGGAUCGGUGUCGCUGAGUAAUCAGCCGCUGCGGCCACCGAUCGGCUUUUGGCGCUUGCGAUGGAGCAGAUGAAAAAACGCGUCGUCGGCUUCACCAAUUCUUAAAGAGAAAUUGAAGCUUAAAGCAGCAAGUGAAUACAAUUAUUUGAACCAGAGCAACUGCUUAACAAUUGAUCGCAUUGAUGAUUCUCAGAAAUUUCACAAAUUGAUGGUAGAGAUGGCUUUGUUAUUGUAGGAAGCUUUCAACACUGUUCAGAUUCCUCAAGAAUAUCAAGAACGUGCAUUAGCACUGCUUGCAGCUGUAUUAUGGUAGGGAAUGUAUCUUUUGAAGUCAUUGACAAUGAAAACCAUGUGGACGUGGUAGCAGAUGAAGCUGUCACUAACGUAGCUAUGUUAAUGGGAUGCGACUGAAAAGAGCUUAUGGUGGUUUUGUCUACAUGCAAGCUCCAAGCUGGUAGAGAUUGCAUUGUUAAAAGACUGACACUGCCACAGGCGACUGAUAUGAGGGAUUCCCUAGCAAAAUCAUCUAUGCUAGCCUCUUCAACUGGCUUGUUGAGCAAAUAAACACUUCACUAGCUGUGAGUUGUCCAUCUUUCCAUCUACCAUCUGCGUUGACUUGCUUGUAAGUUGCUCCUUCUGAUCACCACUUA